AAUCAACGCUGGCGGCGUGCUUAACACAUGCAAGUCGAACGCGAAAGUUCCUUCGGGAAUAAGUAGAGUGGCGUCCGGGUGAGUAACGCGUGGGUAAUCUACCUUCGGGUGGGGAAUAACCCAGGGAAACUUGGGCUAAUACCGCAUAAUGCAGCGGCUCGACAUCGAGACAGUUGUUAAAGUAGCAAUGCGCCUGAAGAGGAGCCUGCGUCUGAUUAGCUAGUUGGUAAGGAAUGGCUUACCAAGGCUACGAUCAGUA
Molecule: ribosomal RNA, 259 nt
Filed under: uncultured bacterium
Lineage: Bacteria
Description: partial 16S ribosomal RNA
Rfam family: Bacterial small subunit ribosomal RNA
Source: RNAcentral